Molecule: ribosomal RNA, 800 nt
Filed under: uncultured bacterium
Lineage: Bacteria
Description: bacterial SSU rRNA
Rfam family: Bacterial small subunit ribosomal RNA
Source: RNAcentral
AAAUCUAAUACUGCAGUCGAACGAGAGACCUUCGGGUCUCUAGUGGCGAACGGGUGAGUAACACGUAGGGAACCUGCCCGCGCACCGGGAAUACGCUCUGGAAACGGAGAACAAAUCCCGAUGUACAGGAAGGAGGCAUCUUCUUUCUGUGAAACAUCCUCUAGGGGAUGGGGCGCGGAUGGACCUGCGGUGCAUUAGUUGGUUGGCGGGGUAAAGGCCCACCAAGACGAUGAUGCAUAGCCGGCCUGAGAGGGCGGACGGCCACAUUGGGACUGAGACACGGCCCAGACUCCUGCGGGAGGCAGCAGUAGGGAAUUUUCGUCAAUGGGCGCAAGCCUGAACGAGCGAUGCCGCGUGAGUGAAGAAGGCCUUCGGGUCGUAAAGCUCUGUUGCGGGGGAAAAAAGGCAGCAUCAGGAAAUGGGUGCUGACUGAUGGUGCCCCGCCAGAAAGUCACAGCUAACUACGUGCCAGCAGCCGCGGUAAUACGUAGGUGGCGAGCGUUAUCCGGAAUGAUUGGGCGUAAAGGGUGCGCAGGCGGUCCUGCAAGUCUGGAGUGAAACGCAUGAGCUCAACUCAUGCAUGGCUUUGGAAACUGGAGGACUGGAGAGCAGGAGAGGGCGGUGGAACUCCAUGUGUAGCGGUAAAAUGCGUAGAUAUAUGGAAGAACACCAGUGGCGAAGGCGGCCGCCUGGCCUGUUGCUGACGCUGAGGCACGAAAGCGUGGGGAGCAAAUAGGAUUAGAUACCCUAGUAGUCCACGCAGUAAACGAUGAUUACUAGCUGUUUGCGAUACACAGUAA